ACGGCAGUGGGGGAGAGGUCAAACCCAUUGGCUUUAGGUGAAGAGCGAGUCUUCCCAUCAAACAGACCUUGAUGGCAAGGGAGAGAGGUAUGCCAACAGCUUCAAAGCUUUCCCGUGUUCGAACCACGGCUGCCGUA
This is a non-coding RNA of Kwoniella heveanensis BCC8398, 137 nucleotides long. The record is from the annotation of a GenBank genome assembly. NCBI's taxonomy places the organism in Eukaryota, Fungi, Basidiomycota, Tremellomycetes, Tremellales, Cryptococcaceae.